UACGUAGGGGCCUAGCGUUGUCCGGAAUCAUUGGGCGUAAAGCGCGUGUAGGCGGUUCGGUAAGCCCGCUGUGAAAGUCGGGGGCUCAACCCUCGAAUGCCGGUGGAUACUGUCGGACUAGAGUACGGAAGAGGCGAGUGGAAUUCCUGGUGUAGCGGUGAAAUGCGCAGAUAUCAGGAGGAACACCAAUUGCGAAGGCAGCUCGCUGGGACGUUACUGACGCUGAGACGCGAAAGCGUGGGGAGCGAACAGG
Molecule: ribosomal RNA, 253 nt
Filed under: uncultured bacterium
Lineage: Bacteria
Description: partial 16S ribosomal RNA
Rfam family: Bacterial small subunit ribosomal RNA
Source: RNAcentral